CGGGUUUGUCCCUCAGUUGUCUUGGGAUUUCAACAUGAGAAGCAUUUGUAAUCCGCAACAUCGUAAAUCUGGUGCCUUCUUAUGAGACAUGCAAUGAGAAUUCAAGAUCUUCUCAACCAAUGCUUUAUUUUAUACAUCACAUUGGUGCUAAUUUCUAGCACGGUUUAAUGUCUCCACAAGUUGUUUAAUGGCUGCCAUAGCAUGCGUUGUUGGAUUACAUUAUGGGCACAUUCUUGUUCAUG
Ipomoea nil (Japanese morning glory) is the source of this 242-nucleotide long non-coding RNA. RefSeq lists it as uncharacterized. The record is from RefSeq and is a predicted model, not a curated record. The transcript is spliced from 3 exons. Lineage: Eukaryota; Viridiplantae; Streptophyta; Magnoliopsida; Solanales; Convolvulaceae.